UGAUAGAGGCGCGGUUACCAUCAGUACCCUCCGUCCCCCGGCAGGAACCGGGGAGGGGAAAGGGGUCGCCGCCGAAGACUUCGUCCGUUUCCUGCCGGGCGGGGCUCUGGGCCGUCGGAUAAUAUCCGCCGGACUGUCGCGAUUCUUUUUCGCGGAGUGCUGUC
This 164-nucleotide non-coding RNA is filed under the name bovine gut metagenome. Its description in RNAcentral is "Lysine riboswitch". It matches the Rfam family "Lysine riboswitch aptamer". Rfam says of the family: Riboswitches are metabolite binding domains within certain messenger RNAs that serve as precision sensors for their corresponding targets. Allosteric rearrangement of mRNA structure is mediated by ligand binding, and this results in modulation of gene expression. This family includes riboswitches that sense lysine in a number of genes involved in lysine metabolism, including lysC. The record is from RNAcentral.